RNAcentral lists this long non-coding RNA (12663 nucleotides) under Malus domestica (apple). RNAcentral describes it as "long non-coding RNA (MDOM_LNC010688)". Lineage: Eukaryota; Viridiplantae; Streptophyta; Magnoliopsida; Rosales; Rosaceae. The record is from RNAcentral.
UAUCAUGUCAAACCCCUAAUGUGAUUAUUCCUUCAUAUAUGAUUCAUUUGAGUCGUAUAGGAACGUUUUCCAUUCAAUACGCUCGAUACUUCGGCCGAAGAUUCCCGAAUCAUAUCUUAGAGUAUUCUUCCUCUCUUAUCGAGGAUUAGAGAUUCCUUGUUGCGCAUACACUUGCCUUCAUGACUAAGUGGCUUAACCCCAAUUAUGCCGUGGACACCCUUGAAUGGGGAGACUUUGACAUAAUCAAAGAUUAAGUACUUAACCACAAGACAACGACGAUGCCUCAGGUCUAAGGAUUACUUACAUCUUUCCAACCAUUAGAGUUACUUGCUUGACAUGUGAGUAGACCUCCAUGCAAGUACUCUCGUUCGAUUGUGUUCAGUGAACUCAUUCCCCUAAUGAGCACCUACAUACUUGUCUUAGUGUCACAACACGAAUGGGAUGAGACUUUCCAUCCUUCCAAUUGAAGCAGACAAAGUAUGUACCGGUCUACGCAUUGUUAGUAUCCCUCCGACAAUCCAACGACCAGGAACCUUUUGGACACAAUGGUUAUGUGAAGAAGGUCUCUGUAGUCUAACAUCAUUAGAUUACUUCUUCAAUCGAUCUAUUGUCCAUGGAUACACUAUUUAGGACAUAUAUCGUUAAUUGAGAUAGUCAUAAUUCGUGUCUUUGCCAUUUGAUGUAUAAGAAUCAUCCAUACAUCGAUUCAUUUGUCCUGAAAGAUUUCUUCCAAAGAUUGACUUUCAGGGCAUAUUUCCAACAAUCUCCCACUUGCACUAAAGUCAAUCACUAGUGUAUCUUAUACAUCUUGUCGAGAGAGUUUAUGCUCGUAGGUUAACUUGGUUAUGUAUUAAUCUCUUUUAUAUUUAAAAGGGAUUUACUUAUCAAAUGUUUCCAAAACAUUUGAUGAUGUCUCUUUAUUGUGUUCGAAUACUUUGAUGAGACCUUGAUUCCAUGGCUUGAGCUAUCGCCCCAUUACGUCGUAGUACUACUAACGACCUUAUGGUUUGGAUUCAAUCAUUGGUUCUAAAAGAACCUCUUCCAUUCAAAACACCUUUUGAAGCAGUUUCUAAAACUAUAUAUCGACAUAUAUUUCGUUUGUAUACUUUAUACAAGCUUUGCUCCAACCUUGAGACCAUUGCAGUACAAUACUAACAAUUCAUUCAUAUGAUUAGUACUUCAUCCAUUAUGAAGUUCCAUUUGUUAAAAUGGCUUAUUUUCACUUUGGUUAACAACCUAAGUGAAUGCACGCUUCCAGAGUCCCACUCUGAUGUUUCUUUCUUAAAGGCAAUAAUACUCUAUCAGUUGCUUUGGUUCUGAUCCUGGGAUAUAGUAAUAUCUUAAAGUGAUAAACUCAGUGGUUUCUUCACCUUUGGAUAUCUACUUCACAAGUCAAUACAUGUGUGCCUUUUGUGAUUUUAUGACACAUUCAUUAUAAGGGUUAUGAAAGUGAUUUCCUAUCACAUAGGAAGAUACUUUCUUAAAUCUUCAACAUUUGAGAUUUAAUUCCCAUAUAACAUUAUUGAGAUAGCCUUGCUAUAUCAGUAAGUCCAAUUUCAAGUCUGUUGAUGCACAAAACCGGGACGGUCUUGGAACAACGUAAAUCCGACCGUGAAUUUGCACAAACGCUCAAGAACACUCAGAACACAAAGAACACAAGGAUUUUAUCGUGGUUCACCCCAAUGUUUGGGCUACGUCCACACUGUAGUUGAUUCUGUUUCUCUGUAAUUGUAUGGAUACAAGUGUUUGAGGGGAAGUCCCCCAGAGAGAGAAGAGAAGGGAGAGGAGAGCCUCGGUGGUGUGAUGACUCUCUCUCAAGGCUGUUUUCAGCUCUAGCCCUUAGAAAUGAGGACUUCAGCUCUGGUUUAGAAUGAGGGGGAGUCCCCUUUUAUAGAAUAAGGGGCUCCUCCUUCUUUACAUUUGUCGUGGGCUUAAUGUGUGAGGCCCAAAUACGAGGCCCAAGGCCCAAAUACGAGGCCCAAAUAUAUGGUACCAACAGGAGUCCCCCAAGUCUUCAGUCAAGAGAGUCUUUUGGCUGGAGACUUCAAAUUCAGUCCAUGUGUGGGCCGAAGUGACUGGAUGCUGUCUUGAAACAAUACUCAACAUGAGUCAACGCUUAACAUAAAGUAAUACUCAGCUAGAGGUAGCACACGUUACGAGGUUGCCCGGCCGGAGGUGAUGCCCGUUGCGAGGCUGCUUGGUUAGAGGCUUACGCUCGCGGUGAGAACUUGCUUGGUUAGAGGCUUAUGCUCGCAUCGAGAGGUUGCUCGGCUGGAGUCGAUGCUCAUUGCAAGGUUGCUUGGCUAGAGGCUUAUGCUCGCGGCGAGAGAUUGCUCGGCCGGAGUCGAUGCCCAUUGCCAGGUUGCUCGGUAAGAGGCUACGCUCGCAGCAAGGCGGCUCGGCUCGUGGCAUUCCUGGUUGCAAGUACGUACUUUAUGUUAACGUGUACUCAGUAUGAGUUGAUUCUCGACAUGACUAGGGUCUGUAAGUUGGGUUUGAUUUUGUAAGUGCCCAACAUGAAUGGUGUCUCAGCCCGUGGGUGUCCAAGCAAGUGGAUGUCUGGUCAGGCAAGAGAUCAAUGUUGAUCAGUAGAGCUGGUUGCUCGAUAAUUCCUGACAAUAAAUGACAACAUAAGUAUGAUUGUAUAAUGAAUAAAUCGAAUUGACACAAUUUGUCAAGGCAGAAUAUUGUACGAUGUGCCUACUACAAAUAAAUGAUUUAUUCAGUUGUGUGGUAAAUCACACGUUGCAUAAGUGAAAUAAUUAGCUGAAACACUGGGCAAUGAAUAAAUAUUUGCACAAAUAAAUGCUUAUAAAUAUGCGCGAUCCGACUAGGAUUAGUGAUAUAUAUAUCUAUAUAUAUAUACUUGUGAAAGGUUGUGUGCCCAUAAUUAUGCCACGUGACUAGCCAUUGUCUCAAGGUAAUAGCCUUUGAUGCAAUAGUAUAUAAUAUAUUGAUCAGUUCGGUGCAUGUGUUUAGCACAUGCAAUAGAUGGAGUUAUGAUCAUUUACAAUGAUUAAGUACUACUUUCUGUCAGCACAGUACAUUUAAUAUGGUGUUACAUGGCAUAUAAGUGAUGCAUUUGUAUUGCACUACGCAUACUGAUAUUGGUAUGUGCAUAGCAGACUUAAGUUUACAACAGCAUUAUUUAAUAAAAGCACAAGCACGCGGCAUAUGCGGUUGCAUUCUAGCACAAGUGUAUAUAUAUAUAUAUAUAUACUGUUGUGAUGCCAACUAUCAUUAUAUACUAAUAAUGCUUUCUAGCAACAAGCACGGCAUAUACUAAUAAUGCUUUUGUGAUGCCAACUAUCAUAUUAUAUAUAUAUAUAUAUAUAUAUAUAUAUAUAUAUAUAUGCUGUUGUGAUGCCAACUAUCAUUAUAUAUAUAUAUAUAUAUAUAUAUAUAUAUAUAUAUACAUAUAUUAAUUAUGCUUUUGUGAGUGCCGAUUAUAAUGAAACACUAUUGAUAAAGAAAGAAGAUGCCUUAUCUUUAUCCCGACAUUGGCGGUCGACAGGAAAAAGUGGAUGGAGACCUAACGUUUUUUGUUGUUGUCCAAGCCCUUUUUGAUGAUGAUUAUCGUCUCCGUCUCGGCCUCAGACGCAGAUCGCGGCGGCGUCGGCGUCUGGGAUGGAGUUUCAGCCAUAGGGUUUGGGUUUGAAUGUGAUCUCUGUGUGUGCACUUGGGCUUCUGAGUUGAUUUUGAUACUGGGCUCUGCCAAACUCGGGUCUCACAUUUGAUUGCAUAAAAUUCAAACCAUGAGGCACAUGGUAUGGCUGACCCCAUGCCCUCUCUCCGAAUCUGGUUGCAGUACAUUAUAAUUCUUUAAACUUGAAUUAACAGGAGCUCCACUUUGUCUCUGGCCCCCAACCCACAGGGGAUUUAGCGGGUUUCAGGGGAUUUAGCGGCGGAACAUGGCGGAUGGAGGUGAGAUUCUGGCUCUGUGGGGUUGAGAAUGGCAGAGAGAGAAGUGGACAUCCAGGAGAGGCGGUGCUGUUUUCUGCAGAUUCACGGUGGAGGUUGUGAGGUUUGAUGAAAAAAAAUGAAAGAGAACCGACAUAGCUUUUCGUGUCGAUUCCCACAGACGGCGCCAAAUGUUGAUGCACAAAACCGGGACGGUCUUGGAACAACGUAAAUCCGACCGUGAAUUUGCACAAACGCUCAAGAACACUCAGAACACAAAGAACACAAGGAUUUUAUCGUGGUUCACCCCAAUGUUUGGGCUACGUCCACACUGUAGUUGAUUAUGUUUCUCUGUAAUUGUAUGGAUACAAGUGUUUGAGGGGAAGUCCCCCAGAGAGAGAAGAGAAGGGAGAGGAGAGCCUCGGUGGUGUGAUGACUCUCUCUCAAGGCUGUUUUCAGCUCUAGCCCUUAGAAAUGAGGACUUCAGCUCUGGUUUAGAAUGAGGGGGAGUCCCCUUUUAUAGAAUAAGGGGCUCCUCCUUCUUUACAUUUGUCGUGGGCUUAAUGUGUGAGGCCCAAAUACGAGGCCCAAGGCCCAAAUACGAGGCCCAAAUAUAUGGUACCAACAAAGUCUAUACUUCAAAAUUGACCGUGUCAUGUUUUGUCAUUUUUCGAUUAACAUCUAUGUUUCAUCAAGUCUAUCAAAUAGACUUUAUUCACAUCUUGUUGCUCAAAUUAUGACAUCACUCCCAUUGGCCUUGUUGUAACUUAGCAUUCAAAAAUUAACAAUUAUAUUUUCUUGAUUUGAAUGCAUAUUGCUCCCACUAAUUUAAAUGAAUCAUACAUAAAAGAAUUCCUUCUCAAGCAAUUCCAUGAAAUGUGUGACUUGCUUUAUCAAAUCUAUUCAUUUAAAUUAUAUGGUGUCAUACACCAUACUUCAAGUUUUAGUCAUACUAAGACCUUUAAUGUAGUCAUAUAAGAAUUACCUAAGUCUUUAGUGGAAGCAUGGCUCCUACUAAGGAUAUAGAAACUCAACCAUUCCUUCUAGGUGGUUGAUAUAAUUCUUUAUCAAAACUACAUAGAGCAAUAUCGUUACAUGAGAUGUUGAAUUUGGAUUGUCUUGUUGUUAAACCAUAUGUUGUGACUCAUUUUGAAACUUAUUCCCUUUUGUUUCAUCAACUUGUCCAUAUGCUUUGUUAUUAGCAUGUUCUCAUAAAAGAGAAUGAUGGACAACUCCCAACAUAUAACCAUUUUUAUGCUAGGUUGACGAAACCAACAUUCAAAGACUAUUCUUUAAAUGUUACACAACAUAGAAUUUUUAACGUUUGAAGAGCUUGAGUCCUUUUAACAAUUAAAAUUACAAACUCUUAAUAAUAGUCAAGUACUAUUAUUCUUUAGACAACUAUAAACCAAUCACAUUCAAGUUUAUAUCCAUUUUCACACCUCCCACUAUUUCUCAUGACUUUAAUGAGAAAUCAUUUCAUAAAUUCAAAAUGUAUAAAAGUGGAUUAUAUUGGUAGAAGACAUUGUGUAGUAGCUUUGAAACAUUUCAAGCUUAUUUGUUUCAAUCUUCACUAAGUUUAAUGUCUUGUUAUUUAAGUGACUAAAGUCUUUAAACCUUUUAUAGAUUUAGACACUUCUUUCUUGGUUUAAUCACUAACACAUUUGACAUUUUAAAAACAAUUUUAAGAAUGCCCAAUUAAUUGUUCAAAACUACUAAUUGAAUCAAGAGUGAUCUUGAUCAUUGUGUUUCAAGUGAUAACCAUAUAAGAAACGUUUUUCUUAUUACUUAUAUCAUUAUAAUGUGAUCUUCCUUUUCUUCAAGAAAGGAUUCUCUAGACUUUUGUCAAUUCAUAUAGAACUCAUAUAGUAGACAAAUGGAACCAAAUCUAAAGAUUCAUUGUAUCCUUUUAUGUCCUACUACAUGUGAGAUCUAUCCAUAAUUGAUAAAUCUCUAAAGUUUGGUUUAUCACAUUACAAUUAAGUGAUAUAACUCUUGUAUCUCAUCUAGGAUACAACAAGACAAUUUUCAAUUCAUAACACUACUUUAAGGAAAUAGUAUAUUAAAAAGGCAUACUUCACAUUACAUUAAUAUGAUAGUUCAAACAUUCAUAAUGUUUAAUACAAAAAGUAUUAGCUAUAUAUAUUUAGAGACUAAUAUAAAUACCUUUAUACAUUUAGGCACUAUAUAGUGGUCUUCCAUCACAUGAAGCCACAUAAUAAGUUCUUAUCAAAAUAAGAAAGUUUAAAGACAAUCUUUAAUGCCUAACAAACUUCCUAAGUAGUGAGCAAAAAACAUAGUGGCCGAACCCUUCACCACAUUUUCUUUGCUUGUUCUUCUUCUACUUGGCUUCUCCACCUAUAUACAAUUAUACAAGUGAUUAGCUCUUUAUAUCAAAUAUAAAUAUUUAGAAGAUCUAACAUUUAGAAUUGAAGAUAAGGACAUAAACCAUACCUUGUGGCUUGUCCUUAAGACUUGCAAGGUAUAACUUGCAAUUCCUUCUCCAAUGCCCCUCCUUUCCACAGUGGUGGCAAGUCCCUUUGGGCUCCUUUGCCUUCUUUUUCCUCACUCCUCCUUUCGGCUUAGGAGUGGGUGACUUCUUCUCCUUCCCUUUGCCUUUGCCUUGCGGCAUGGCCUUGGAAGAGGAUGGCUUGUUGUAGGCUACUGCAGCAGUCCCUACACCGCUCUCUUUCUUCAUAGUCUUCUCAGCAGUUACUAACAUGUUUAGUAACUCAGAGAGAGUACUAUCCAUCUUAUUCAUAUUGUAGUUCAUUACAAACUGAGCAAAUGAAUCAGAAAAAGAAGCCAAUACGAAGUCUUGGGCCAAUUCCCCGUCAAGUGGAGUUCCAAGGUUCUCCAAUUGUUCAAUGAAUCCUAUCAUCUUCAGUACAUGUUGGUGUACUGGAGCCCCCUUGACCAUCUUGGUCUUUACAAGUUCACAAACAGUGCUAAAGCGACGGUUGCGCGUCCCUUCGCCAUAUAACUCCGUAAGAUGGAGUAUUAUGGAAAAUGCACUAUCCAUGCCCUCGUGCUGUCUCUGUAGCUCCUCAUUCAUGGAAGCCAACAGAUAGCACUUGGCUUGUAUAUCAUCCUCAACGUGAUUGUCAUACUUAGCACGUUCAUCCUCAGUAGCCUCAGGGCUGAGAGGUAUGUGAGGUGGAGGCUUAUCUAGUACGUAAACAAUCUUCUCCAAUGUUAGGAGAAUCUUGACAUUACGAUACCAUGAUGGGAAAUUGUGCCCCUCUAGGCAAUGUUUGUCGAGUAUUUUUGCGAGUGUGCUUCCAAUCAUAUCUAUAUACAUAAACAAAUAAAAUAAUUAGAUUGAUUGUUGUUUAAGUCAAACGAUUCGGGUCUUUAAACCGAAUGACACCACCCACCAUUUUUGGCAAAUUCCAUAUCCCCCAUAAUGGAAUCCGGGAGAUUUCAAAGAAAGCUCCUAGCGGGUUAUGGGAGGCUCAUUAUUACCAAGCCCACCUCACAAUGAUACGAUGUUUGGCUAGCAACAAUAAUAAUGAGAGGGUACAAUUACCCAUUCACAACAACCUCUUGUGAUUACCCAUCUUUUUUGCCUCUAGAAAAUAAUACCUCACGAUGAUACGAUGUUGGCAUUAUGUUUCUUAGUUAAGUUCUUUCCCACCAUGCCGGUUUAGCUAGGGGUUCAAGAAUGACCUCACGAUGAUACGAUGUUGGCCAUACUCGUUGCCUACCUUAACCUCAUCAAAUGUUUUAAAUAAACUCCUCCUGAAUAUAAGCAUGCAUUUUGUCACUUCCCCAUGAUAGGGUGAAGGCGGUGUACAAGUCAUAAACGCUUGGAGCCUACCACGGUGGAAGGCCACUGAUGAGUAGAUUUUAUAUUAUAUAUUUUACCCUAAUCUUAGUAUAUUUUGGUUAAUAUUUUGGAAGAAUUUUGAUACUUCGAAUUGUAUUUUCAAUAUAGGACUUUCGACUUCCUCUGGAGCAAAACAGGACCAAAUGGACGAAUUUUGGAGUAAUUCCAGUUGGAGGACGUUCGUGAGUUACUUAGCUUGAUCGUAUCAAAAUUUGGGAUUUUUCCACCAAGCGGUGAUUUUCUGGCGAUGAAAUAAAGAAACAGUGCGCAGUGCUGGAAAGUGACGUUUUUGGGCUUAAAUUGCGUUUUUGGAGCCCAAGAUGACCUCGGAUGGGUUUGAGGCCUUCUGGAAAAGUGUUCAGAAUAUUCCAAACAUUAAAUUCAGCUUUAUUGGGCCAGUUUUGGAGCAGCUUAUGGGCCAAAACGUGGCUGUUCAGAUUUUAGACGAAUUUUUAUCAUUUAAUUUAGGGUUAUGUUUUCUAGGGUUUUGGUGGUGGCUUAGCAAAUAUAUUGCUUAGCCAUCUACAGUUUUAGAGGACGCUUUAUUUUAUGCAAUAUUGGAGACAGAGAGAAGGGCUAGGGUUUUGAAGAUUUUCUACUUGAAGGUGUUUUCAAUCCUUUUCUUAAGAAUAUUUUCUAUGAUUUCAAUUAUGAAUAUGCGGAACUAAUUUCUUUUGCUAGGGCGAAGCCUUGAGCCUUAGCAUGAAUAUGUGAUUUUUAUUUAAUUGCUUAUGAUUGAUUGCAUGCGGACUUUGAAUUGUUAAUCACCGGGAUAAAAACUAUCUAAUUGUCGUAAUGCCUGAUCACCAUUAGGAUCUUUAGAAAAGUAAUUUGAUGCAAUUUUGGUCGGAAGGUUCCCUGAAAUUGACACUGGCUUCUUGUGAUUAAUAAUUGUAAUUUCUCUUAAGAUGAAUAUCACGUCUUAAGGAUUGCAUGGUUUUUCAAGGGAUUUUCAUAAAGCAUAAUGAGUCUUUCAUGUUUAGAUUUGAUCCGAACGUCCGGACGGGUUGCAUGUUAGAUAUACGUUCUAUGUUGGAGGUUCCAAGUAGAAUAUGAAUUAGGAAAAUCUAACCUUCAAAGUGGCAUGUGUAGAUCAUAAGUAAUUGGUAAAAAUUCAUAGGAUUGCUAGGUGAUGGUGGAACCCUAGUGCUUUCUUAAUUUGAUUUUUCUCAAAACUGUUUUCUUUUCUCUCUAGUUUUAAUAUUGCAGAUUCUCUUAUCAUUAAUAGUUAAAUUCGUUUUUAGUUUAAGUAUGUUAUAAAAUCAAUCAUCUAAAUUUCUACUUUACAAUAAUUAAUUGAAAUCUGGUUUGUUUCGGUUUAUUUAAUAAUCCCUCUGGAGAAUGACCUUGCGAGAUCCGUUUAUACUACAAUAUCCUUGUAAUUCUUGCAAAUAAAAUAGAAGGUUUUUAUCGCAUUCACAUGUUUUAAAUAAACUCAUCCUGAAUAUAAGCAUGCACUUUGUCACUUCCCCAUGAUAGGGUGAAGGCGGUGUACAAGUCAUAAACGCUUGGAGCCUACCACGGUGGAAGGCCACGAAAAAGUGUUCUAAGCACUCUUACGCUUUCAACUUAAUAUUUGUUUGGUUGAGGGAUUUUAAGGUCUCAUCAAUUUUAUUUAUUUAAUCACAAUCAAAUAAAUAAUGUCCUAUUACAACUACUAGUCCAAAGUUAAUGAAAUUAGUAGCAUAUAAUAUCCCCACUAUUCGUUUUCAUAAAACAAAUCAAUAUCAAAACAUUUUUCAAAAUAUUGGAGAUAUAUAUAACUACUAAUUGUAUUCAUUAUAAUUUAGUAGCGUAUGAUACUCCCACUAUUUGUUUUGAAAAAAAACAAAUCAAUAUCAAAAACGAAUUUUUCAAAUAUUGGAAGUAACUACUACUACUAAGGUUUUUGCAUUCCUUUGAAAUUGGACUUUAUAGUUAUCUUAGGCUCUUGGAUGACCAUGGACUUAUUAGAUUAUUGCAACAACGAGCCAUCAUUGUUGAAUAUAAACUCGGGGAGGUUGUGUCAAUUUAAUUACGUGCUUAUCAAUCCAAUUAAAACCAUUUUCAUUGAGCCAUUAGAAAUGAAAUACAAUCAUUCAUUGCUAAUUUGGGCAUUGGACCCUUUUAAUCUUUAAUCUCAUGUCAAAACCCUCUUUUAGUUAUGUCUCCUUUACCAAUAGUUAAAGAAACUCUAGUCUAGCACAAUAGGGAAUCGACUAACGAAUAGAGAUUAAGAAGUAAUAAGAAUUACAAACCGAUUUGUACAAAUUCCUAUAAAUUACAUAUACUAAAAGGGGAGAGAAAGAUUAACGUCAAACGUGACAAGGUCCAAUUAAACAGUAAUUAACACAUUCCCAAGGUUCAAACAAUUUGAUUUUAGCGCCUUAUCAUAUAGCUCAAUUAUCGUUUAAGGCAUAAGUCCAAAGUCAUCCAUUUCAUAACUACUUAAACACAUUUAAAUAAUCAUAAGGGAAUGCAACAUAAACAUUUAGAUUUAGUGCAUAUGGGCAUAAUAGUAUUAUGAGUUUAAACAACUAACAAAAUUAAAAUCAAAUAUUUUAACUUUCUAGUUAGUAGGGGCCUAAAUGUAAAUAUGAAAAGUUAGGGGUAAAACCGUAAAUAUUUCAAAGUAAAUAUCAACUUUUCAAAGAUUACAAAAUAGCCCCACAAGUGGAUAAAUCCACUAGGGAGGCCGGCCACUUAAUGGGGGAAUGGGAAGUCUCACCCACAUGCUUUAAUUCAAUGCAAAGUAGAAAAAUCAAAAUUUUGCUUGUCACUUAGUUUUGGCAUUUAAAACUUAGGUGAAAAGGUUUGAUGGAAAUCUCCUAGUCAAGUCUAGGGUUUUAUAAGUAUAUAUGAUAUGGUUAUGGAUGGUAUGAACAUCACCCAAAACCACAAAACAAUGCAUUAAAACCAUUUUCAUCAAAAACCAAACUAUGAACACCAAGAACAAAACCAUGAACACUUUUUCAAGAUUUGUGUAUUCUUGGUGAUUUUUCAAACCCAAAAACAAAAGUGACAAGGUUUCUUCUUUCUAGCUUUAAAAGGAUGUGAGAGUGGUUUACAAUAAAACACAAACACAACCCAAAACCACCCCCAAAACCGUGCCAUCCCUUUGGUUCAAAACCCCAAAUUUUGUUCAUGACUUAUUCUUCAUUCAUGCAUCUAAAACACCCUUUUACAUGCAUAUCUUUUUCAACUCUUGAUUUAUAUUUUUCAACCAUUGAAAAACAAAAGAUAAACAUACUUUAAAUGAAGAAAUAAUAUGUCAAACUAGUUCUAAACUCAUUUUUCAUUCAUGCAUACAAAACAUCUUUUGCAUCCAUACCUUUCUCAACUAUUGACUAACAUUUUUCAACUAUUGAAAAACAAAAGAUAAACAUACCUUGAAUGAAACAACAAUAUGUCAUACAUAACAUUAAUACCCAUAUGCAUAAAAUCCAAAAGGACACAUUAUACAUAAACCUUUGGCUCUGAUACCACUUGAAGGGAAAUCUAUGAGAUUCAUGUAUGGGAUUUCUAAAUGACUAUCAUGCAUAUCCAAAACAAUUAUGAUAUACGAAAGCAGCGGAAGCAUUUAUAACAUAUUAUCAAAGCUAUAGUCAUGCAAAUCCCCUUCAAGGUUCAUAGGUUUAUAUAUAAUGCAUCAAAACAAAUUAUGGAAUCAAGAACAAAGUGAAGGUUAGUCUUAUACCUCUUGAUCUAGACUUGAGACCAAGGAUGGACCACCUCCAAGCCCUUUGCUCCUUGAAAUCCUUGAGCCUAGCUUCCCUCCUUGCCUCCUCCACUUUGAAAGAAUGAGUGCUCCUAGGUUCUCUUCAAGUUUCCAAAGUAGGAAACCUCUAAAGAUCCUCACCCACUAGUAUAGUGAGAAGGAUGAAGGAAUAACCAAAAUGGUGAAAGAUUGUUAGCUAAAACACCCCAAUGGUGGCCGGCCCUUUGAUGUGUUAGAGAGCUUUUUUUCUUUUGCCUCUUUGUUGUUUAAACACUUCAAAAACCCUUAUGAACUUUAUCACUAUAAAGUUCCUUAUAUAGACAAAAGAAAACCUAGUCAACACUUGACUAAAUAUCUCCUUCCCCACAUAAUAUGGCCGGUCCUCUUUGUGUUGUUUGGGCUUUGGGCUUUCAUUUAUUUCAAGUCAUCCAAUGCUUGAAUAAAAGCCCAAUGGGUUUAGGCCCAAUGGGCCCAAUUAAACCCGAACGUUUCUUUAAGCCCAAAACGAUCUUUAUCGCUUUUAUGAUUUCUUUAGACUUUUCUAAAUUAAUCACAACACAUAAUUAAUCCAAUUAAUUGUUUCCAUCAUCCAUUAGUUACUCACCACAAUAGUGUUUUGGUGAACAAUCUUUUAGGUUCUAAUUAGCAAGGCAGUGAGGUGAUUGGCAUCAAUCCAAUUGCUUAUAUUUAAUUCAAUCACUUAGUGAAUUAAAACUUCAUUUUAAUUCACCUUUCUUCUUUGACGACUACAUUUAAUCAUCUAGAAGAACUCACAAGCUAUGAGUGACAUCUAACCAUAUGUCAUAGCUACCCAAGCUAAUGUAGAAGUUUAUUCGAAGAACCUAGUCAGUUGGAAUUACAAUGUAAUUCAAUCCUUCUCUAAUACAAUACUCUCAAUCACAUCAUUAGGGUAUGGAUAUAUCAUGUCAAACCCCUAAUGUGAUUAUUCCUUCAUAUAUGAUUCAUUUGAGUCGUAUAGGAACGCUUUCCAUUCAAUACGCUCGAUACUUCGGCCGAAGAUUCCCGAAUCAUAUCUUAGAGUAUUCUUCCUCUCUUAUCGAGGAUUAGAGAUUCCUUGUUGCGCAUACACUUGCCUUCAUGACUAAGUGGCUUAACCCCAAUUAUGCCGUGGACACCCUCGAAUGGGGAGACUUUGACAUAAUCAAAGAUUAAGUACUUAACCACAAGACAACAACGAUGCCUCAGGUCUAAGGAUUACUUACAUCUUUCUAACCAU